Anopheles stephensi (Asian malaria mosquito) is the source of this 91-nucleotide non-coding RNA. NCBI's taxonomy places the organism in Eukaryota, Metazoa, Arthropoda, Insecta, Diptera, Culicidae. The record is from Rfam.
UUAUUUUCCUUGAUGAUAUAUAGUUCAUAUGAACCAAAACCAUGAUCACAAGUACUAUGGCAAGGUCUUUCGCUCCUAUCUGAAUAAGAUG